Molecule: small nuclear RNA, 113 nt
Organism: Podarcis raffonei (Aeolian wall lizard)
Lineage: Eukaryota; Metazoa; Chordata; Lepidosauria; Squamata; Lacertidae
Product: U5 spliceosomal RNA
Exons: 1
Source: RefSeq, a predicted model, not a curated record
AUACUGUGGUUUCUCUUCAGAUUGUAUAAAUCCUUCGCCUUUUACUAAAGAUUUCCAUGGAGAGAAACAGUUAUGAGUUUACAACUAAUUUGAGGCCCCGCUUUGGUGGGACU